Molecule: long non-coding RNA, 403 nt
Filed under: Mustela putorius furo (domestic ferret)
Lineage: Eukaryota; Metazoa; Chordata; Mammalia; Carnivora; Mustelidae
Description: lncRNA (ENSMPUG00000026679.1)
Source: RNAcentral
CUUUUUUAUUAUUAAAGACACUGGGUUAACUGAGGAUAGAUUUAAUGCCUGCCAGUAAUUUUAUUGGAUAAUCAGCAGCCCAGGGUCCCCACCGCAGUUGAAGCUCAGGAACCCUCCUCUGGGGCCACUGGAUUCUUUGGAGGAAACCCAGGGCUGGGAAGUUGCACACGUGGGCACUUUCUUGGGAUUUCCUCCUGGCCCUCGAGGUGUGCAGGCAGGACAUUCCCCUUCUGCUGCCUGUGCUCAGAUCCUGAGUGGCGCAUGUGAGACACGGUCUUACUUGGGUGUCCACUGCCAAGGAAGCCUUGAUGACGUCUCCAUCAUUGUGAGCCAGAGAAAUUGCCCCAUUCCUCUGUCGUCUGACAUUCAUUUGAUAAGAGAUUUCAGGGAGAGGUCACUGUGA